AAUGAACGCUGGCGGCAGGCCUAACACAUGCAAGUCGAGCGAGCGGCGGACGGGUGAGUAAUGUCUGGGAAACUGCCUGAUGGAGGGGGAUAACUACUGGAAACGGUAGCUAGUACCGCAUACCAUCAGAUGUGCCCAGAUGGGAGUAGCUAGUAGGUGGGGUAACGGAUCACCUAGGCGACGAUCCCUAGCUGGUCUGAGAGGAUGACCAGCAACACUGGACCUGAGACACGGUCCAGCUUCCUACGGGAGGCAGCAGUGGGUAAUAUUGCACAAUGGGGACAAGCCUGAUGCAGCCAUGCGGCGUGGGUGAAGAAGGCCUUCGGGUUGUAAAGCACUUUCAGCGGGGAGGCGUUACCCGCAGAAGAAGCACCGGCUAACUCCGUGCCAGCAGCCGCGGUAAUAC
RNAcentral lists this ribosomal RNA (406 nucleotides) under uncultured bacterium. RNAcentral describes it as "partial 16S ribosomal RNA". It matches the Rfam family "Bacterial small subunit ribosomal RNA", at positions 29 to 526 of the family's 1533-position model. The record is from RNAcentral.